AGCAGCAUGGCGCAGAUGGAAGCGCGCGGGGCCCAUACCGGUUUACGUAAUUAAGCGUAAUCAGAUACCCCGAGGUCACUCGAUCGAAACGAGUUGCUGCUA
Molecule: non-coding RNA, 102 nt
Organism: Mycena leptocephala
Lineage: Eukaryota; Fungi; Basidiomycota; Agaricomycetes; Agaricales; Mycenaceae
Source: the annotation of a GenBank genome assembly